CCUACGGGAGGCAGCAGUGAGGAAUAUUGGACAAUGGGCGCGAGCCUGAACCAGCCAAGUCGCGUGGGUGAAGACGGUCCUAUGGACUGUAAACCUCUUUGGUCGGGGAGCAAAAGACGCCACGCGAGGCGUUCCGAGAGUACCCGAAGAAAAAGCAUCGGCUAGCUCCGUGCCAGCAGCCGCGGUAAUACGGGGGAUGCGAGCGUUAUCCGGAUUAAUUGGGUUAAACGGGUGCGCAGGCGGAAGAUCAAGUCAGCGUUAAAAUUGAGAGGCUCAACCUCUGCGAGCCGUUGAAACUGGUUGUCUUGAGUGAGUGAGAGGUAUGCGGAAUGCCUGGUGUAGCGGUGAAAUGCGUAGAUAUCACGCAGAACUCCGAUUGCGAAGGCAGCAUACCGGCGCUCAACUGACGCUCAUGCACGAAAGUGUGGGUAUCGAACAGGAUUAGAUACCCCUGUAGUC
RNAcentral lists this ribosomal RNA (459 nucleotides) under uncultured bacterium. RNAcentral's name for it is "partial 16S ribosomal RNA". It matches the Rfam family "Bacterial small subunit ribosomal RNA", at positions 338 to 795 of the family's 1533-position model. The record is from RNAcentral.